Molecule: ribosomal RNA, 253 nt
Filed under: uncultured bacterium
Lineage: Bacteria
Description: partial 16S ribosomal RNA
Rfam family: Bacterial small subunit ribosomal RNA
Source: RNAcentral
UACGUAGGGUGCGAGCGUUAAUCGGAAUUACUGGGCGUAAAGCGUGCGCAGGCGGUUCGUUGUGUCCGAUGUGAAAGCCCCAAGCUUAACUUGGGAAUGGCAUUGGGAACUGGCGGGCUGGAGUGUGGCAGAGGGGGGUGGAAUUCCACGUGUAGCAGUGAAAUGCGUAGAGAUGUGGAGGAACACCGAUGGCGAAGGCAGCCCCCUGGGCCAACACUGACGCUCAGGCACGAAAGCGUGGGGAGCAAACAGG